GACGAACGCUGGCGGCGUGCUUAACACAUGCAAGUCGAACGGAAAGGCCCUGCUUUUGUGGGGUGCUCGAGUGGCGAACGGGUGAGUAACACGUGAGUAACCUGCCCUUGACUUUGGGAUAACUUCAGGAAACUGGGGCUAAUACCGGAUAGGAGCUCCUGCUGCAUGGUGGGGGUUGGAAAGUUUCGGCGGUUGGGGAUGGACUCGCGGCUUAUCAGCUUGUUGGUGGGGUAGUGGCUUACCAAGGCUUUGACGGGUAGCCGGCCUGAGAGGGUGACCGGGCACAAUGGGAAUGAGAAACGGGCCAGACUCCUACGGGAGGCAGCAGUGGGGAAUAUUGCACAAUGGGCGGAAGCCUGAUGCAGCAACGCCGCGUGCGGGAUGACGGCCUUCGGGUUGUAAACCGCUUUCGCCUGUGACGAAGCGUGAGUGACGGUAAUGGGUAAAGAAGCACCGGCUAACUACGUG
RNAcentral lists this ribosomal RNA (468 nucleotides) under uncultured bacterium. Its description in RNAcentral is "partial 16S ribosomal RNA". It matches the Rfam family "Bacterial small subunit ribosomal RNA", at positions 28 to 507 of the family's 1533-position model. The record is from RNAcentral.